UACGGAGGAUGCGAGCGUUAUCCGGAUUUAUUGGGUUUAAAGGGUGCGUAGGCGGCCGAGUAAGUCAGCGGUGAAAUUUUUGCAGCUUAACUGUAACAGUGCCGUUGAUACUGCAUGGCUAGGAUUUGGUUGCUGUGGGUGGAAUGUGUGGUGUAGCGGUGAAAUGCUUAGAUAUCACACAGAAUAUCAAUUGCGAAGGCAGCUCACAAAGCCAAGAUUGACGCUGAGGCACGAAAGUGUGGGGAUCAAA
This 250-nucleotide ribosomal RNA is filed under the name uncultured prokaryote. Its description in RNAcentral is "partial 16S ribosomal RNA". It matches the Rfam family "Bacterial small subunit ribosomal RNA", at positions 524 to 772 of the family's 1533-position model. The record is from RNAcentral.